GAGUUAUUUAGAAAACUUGCAUAAGUGCCAACUCUUUGUCUCUACCUAUAGGGAAUGAGAACCAGUAGAUUUGAGGGGAGGUUCAGGAAUCUGCAUUUUAAAUACAUAUCAUUGGUUGUUAUAUUAUCAGAUGGGGAA
This 138-nucleotide microRNA precursor is filed under the name Tupaia belangeri (northern tree shrew). RNAcentral describes it as "miRNA (ENSTBEG00000020274.1)". The record is from RNAcentral. Lineage: Eukaryota; Metazoa; Chordata; Mammalia; Scandentia; Tupaiidae.